RNAcentral lists this ribosomal RNA (253 nucleotides) under uncultured bacterium. RNAcentral's name for it is "partial 16S ribosomal RNA". It matches the Rfam family "Bacterial small subunit ribosomal RNA", at positions 524 to 776 of the family's 1533-position model. The record is from RNAcentral.
UACAGAGGUCCCAAGCGUUAUCCGGAUUCACUGGGUUUAAAGGGUGCGUAGGCGGCGCGGUAAGUCGGGUGUGAAAUCUCGGAGCUUAACUCCGAAACUGCAUUCGAUACUGCCGUGCUUGAGGACUGGAGAGGAGACUGGAAUUUACGGUGUAGCGGUGAAAUGCGUAGAUAUCGUAAGGAAGACCAGUGGCGAAGGCGGGUCUCUGGACAGUUCCUGACGCUGAGGCACGAAGGUCAGGGGAGCAAACGGG